Molecule: ribosomal RNA, 394 nt
Filed under: uncultured Chrysophyceae
Lineage: Eukaryota; Chrysophyceae
Description: partial small subunit ribosomal RNA
Rfam family: Eukaryotic small subunit ribosomal RNA
Source: RNAcentral
GCUUGUCUCAAAGAUUAAGCCAUGCAUGUCUAAGUGUAAAUACGUCUACACUGUGAAACUGCGAAUGGCUCAUUAAAUCAGUUAUCGUUUAUUUGAUGAUCUCUCGUUACAUGGAUAACCGUAGUAAUUCUAGAGCUAAUACAUGCGUCAAGCCCCGACUCACGAAGGGGUGUAUUUAUUAGAUGGAAACCAAUGCGGGGCAACCCGGAUUCUGGUGAUUCAUAAUAAUUAUCGGAUCGAUCGUAUGAUCGAUGCAUCAUUCAAGUUUCUGCCCUAUCAGCUUUGGAUGGUAGGGUAUUGGCCUACCAUGGCAUUAACGGGUAACGGAGAAUUAGGGUUCGAUUCCGGAGAGGGAGCCUGAGAAAUGGCUACCACAUCCAAGGAAGGCAGCAGG